This 384-nucleotide ribosomal RNA is filed under the name Triticum aestivum (bread wheat). RNAcentral's name for it is "partial small subunit ribosomal RNA". Lineage: Eukaryota; Viridiplantae; Streptophyta; Magnoliopsida; Poales; Poaceae. The record is from RNAcentral.
AUGGCCGCCACCGCCGCGGCCAUCGUGACGGCGACGGCGGCGGCGUCGAGCUGCAGCAAGCGCGAGAGCGUCGGCAUUGCGGCGCCCGCCGACUUGUCAGUCUCCAGCUCCCUUCCUUCCUUCUCCUCACGGCACGGCGCUGGCCGUUCCAAGCCGUGCUGCUGCGUGUGGAGUUCUCUUCUCACGCUUUGGCUGCUGCCUGUUGUCGUGCGCAGGACGAAGAAGGCGAAGAAGGGGAGGUCGCCACCGGCGGAGGAGAUGGAGGCCUUCUUCGCCGCGGCGGAGGGCGACGUCGCGCGGCGCUUCGCUGCCAAGUACAACUAUAACGUCGUCACAGACGCUCCCAUGGAUGGGCGGUACGAGUGGGUCCGAGUGAGGCCGUAG